UACAGAGGGUGCAAGCGUUAAUCGGAAUUACUGGGCGUAAAGGGCGCGUAGGCGGUUAUUUAAGUUGUAGGUGAAAUGUCUGGGCUUAACCUGGGAAUUGCCUAUAAGACUGAAUGACUAGAGUAGGGUAGAGGGAAGUGGAAUUUCCAGUGUAGCGGUGAAAUGCGUAGAUAUUGGAAAGAACAUCAGUGGCGAAGGCGACUUCCUGGAUUUAUACUGACGCUGAGGCGCGAAAGCAUGGGUAGCAAACAGG
This 253-nucleotide ribosomal RNA is filed under the name uncultured bacterium. RNAcentral describes it as "partial 16S ribosomal RNA". It matches the Rfam family "Bacterial small subunit ribosomal RNA", at positions 524 to 776 of the family's 1533-position model. The record is from RNAcentral.